This 253-nucleotide ribosomal RNA is filed under the name uncultured bacterium. RNAcentral describes it as "partial 16S ribosomal RNA". It matches the Rfam family "Bacterial small subunit ribosomal RNA", at positions 524 to 776 of the family's 1533-position model. The record is from RNAcentral.
UACGGAGGGGGCUAGCGUUGUUCGGAAUUACUGGGCGUAAAGGGCGCGUAGGCGGUGUGUCAAGUCAGGCGUGAAAGCCCCGGGCUCAACCUGGGAACAGCGCUUGAGACUGGCACGCUCGAGUUCGGGAGAGGAUGGUGGAAUUCCCAGUGUAGAGGUGAAAUUCGUAGAUAUUGGGAAGAACACCGAUGGCGAAGGCAGCCAUCUGGACCGACACUGACGCUGAGGCGCGAAAGCGUGGGGAGCAAACGGG